CGCGCUGCCCACUGCCCACACCAGCAAUGAGGCAGCCCGCAUUUCCCCAUCUCUUCCUCGGCUGGUGCCAACCACCCUGGAACGUCCUGGAACUUGUUGUCUCUCUAUUUUCAGGAAGGCAAGACCCUUCCCCAUGCACACGAAUGCGGGACUGGGGAUGACCGGCCAGGGAUUUGGUAGGGACACAGGACCAGGGCACCCUAAAGGGCUCUGGCCUGGCAGACAGGUGAGUCUGAGAAGGGGCCCUUACUGAACCCUUCCUGCUAAGUUUAGGAGCACACACGUUUCUGUGCCCUCGGUUCAAGUCUCUAGAUUCCUCUGGGCCAUGAAUCCAUUGUCCAUAUUUACCUGAAAUAAGACUUUUUCUACUAGGAAAUCAUAACUACCUACCUACGCACUAAAGCAAAUUCCACUGAAGUAAAUACACUUGUCCUCAUUACUGAGAUUCAUUCUAACGUUUCCCGAGGUUAAGAAUCCCAAGCUCCAGAGCUAGGGCUGGACGUGAGAGUUGAAAAGCAACACAGGUUCCAGGGUUAAGCCGGGCAGCCCGACAGGGAGAAGGUGACAACCGUCCUCUCUGUCACUCUUGCAACAGUUAGGGGCACCUGGCCUUGGAUCUCAGCUCAGCCACCCACUUACCCCUCGUGACUUCUCACAGAGCCUUAAUGUCCCCACAGACAGGCCAGGAAGACGACUAGCUGUGCCGGCCGCUUAGCGGGUAAGGAAUAAGCUACGUUACUGUUGCUGAUAAAGCAUCUCUGGGUCCUGACCUCCUUUCCCUUCCUCCGAUCGCGAUCGCGGAAAGGAGAAGCGGGCUCCUCCGGGCCGCGCUGCCUGGAAACUGCCACAAACAGCUCAGGCAAGACGGGAGAACCGGAAGAAAAACACUCAGAUCCCGGCGCAUACUGAUUCCAGCGGCCACACCCGGACCUCGCCGGCCAGGCCCAGCGCCCGGGACGCGGAGCGGGGCGGGGGGGGGGGGGGAGCCCGGGGCUGCCGGGGGCGGGGCGCACGGCGGCGGCGGAGGCGUCCGGGGCGCAGGGCAGGGGCGCGGCGCAGGGAGCAGUCCGCACACACGGGCGGGGGCUGCGGUGAUCACUCGCCACCGGGCGCUCGGGGCCGAUGGAGCCCCGGCUGGCCUGUUCCGCGCGGCCCCGUCUUACCGGCUCAGCGCUGGUUCGGGCUCCGGGCGGCGCGAGGUGUGGGAAGAAGCGCUAGGGCCCGAGGCCCUUAUAGCUGUGGAAGGGGAGUGUCGCCCAGGCAGGAGGCGGGCGGGCGGGCAGGGCCUUGGCCCUUCCCCCAGAGGACUUCCUGGGAGUCCGGGCUUGGAGGCUUGGCGUUGUAGAAGCCGAGGUGAAGGCUCAAUCCGCGUGAAGCUGAUUGGCAUGUCAUCCAGCAUGUGCACUCCCCUGUGUCAGCAGCCUGUGCCCAAGGGACCCGGAUGA
This 1445-nucleotide long non-coding RNA is filed under the name Ursus thibetanus thibetanus. RNAcentral describes it as "lncRNA (ENSUTTG00000001453.1)". The record is from RNAcentral. Lineage: Eukaryota; Metazoa; Chordata; Mammalia; Carnivora; Ursidae.